CCUACGGGAGGCAGCAGUGAGGAAUAUUGGUCAAUGGGCGAGAGCCUGAACCAGCCAAGUCGCGUGAGGGAGUAAUGCCCUAUGGGUUGUAAACCUCUUUUGUCGGGGAGCAAAAGCCGGACGUGUCCGGCUGUGAGAGUACCCGAAGAAAAAACAUCGGCUAACUCCGUGGCAGCAGCGGCGGUAAAACGGAGGAUGCGGGCGUUAUCCGGAUUUAUGGGGUUAAAAGGGUGCGCAGGCGGAUUUUUAAGUCAGCGGUAAAAGCGGGGGGCUCACCCCCAGCCAGCCGUUGAAACUGGGGAUCUAGAGUGUGCGAGAGGUAUGCGGAAUGCGUGGUGUAGCGGUGAAAUGCAUAGAUAUCACGCAGAACCCCGAUUGCGAAGGCAGCAUACCGGUGCACAACUGACGCUCAGGCACGAAAGCGUGGGUAUCGAACAGGAUUAGAUACCCUAGUAGUC
This 458-nucleotide ribosomal RNA is filed under the name uncultured bacterium. RNAcentral's name for it is "partial 16S ribosomal RNA". It matches the Rfam family "Bacterial small subunit ribosomal RNA", at positions 338 to 795 of the family's 1533-position model. The record is from RNAcentral.